This 59-nucleotide transfer RNA is filed under the name Geminigera cryophila. It matches the Rfam family "tRNA", at positions 7 to 64 of the family's 71-position model. Rfam says of the family: Transfer RNA (tRNA) molecules are approximately 80 nucleotides in length. Their secondary structure includes four short double-helical elements and three loops (D, anti-codon, and T loops). Further hydrogen bonds mediate the characteristic L-shaped molecular structure. tRNAs have two regions of fundamental functional importance: the anti-codon, which is responsible for specific mRNA codon recognition, and the 3' end, to which the tRNAs corresponding amino acid is attached (by aminoacyl-tRNA synthetases). tRNAs cope with the degeneracy of the genetic code in two manners: having more than one tRNA (with a specific anti-codon) for a particular amino acid; and 'wobble' base-pairing, i.e. permitting non-standard base-pairing at the 3rd anti-codon position. The record is from RNAcentral. RNAcentral also lists the same sequence under 1 other name. Lineage: Eukaryota; Cryptophyceae; Pyrenomonadales; Geminigeraceae.
GAUGGUUUAGUGGUAGAAUAUAUCUUUGCCAAGGAUAUGGUCCGGGUUCGAUUCCCGGU